AAUUUUUUUCUUUUUCUUUUUUUGUAGAGAUGAGGUCUCCCUACGUUGCCCAGGCUGGUUUUGAACUUCUGGCCUCAAGCAAUCCUCCCAAAGUGCUGGGAUUACAGAAGUGAGCCACUGGGCCUGGCCAACAAAUCAGCCCCCAAUCAGACUUUCUGUUCCUCAACAGCCAAUAAUCUCCGGGGACUAUCCUGAGUGGGGUCCUUCCUCCAGCUGCCCUCUUUCUUCCCUGGGGUUACUUCCCAGCAUUACCUCCCUGUCAGGCAGCAGAGUCUUGGGCUGAUAGCCACUGAGGAAGACAGACUGUGGUAGAGAAGUGAGGAACGGGCUCUGGAAUACAACCCCCUCUAGUCCCUGGAGCCCCGCCAUCGCUAACCCUCGGCUUCAAGGAUGUGCCUCCAGGUGACCAGGCCUGGCUCAUCUUUGGCUCCUCUGGCUAGUUCUCCUGCCAAGCCUCUCUGCACAGGCCUGGGCUCUGGGUCCAGCAUCACGCCUUGACUGCCACCGCUGAUACUGAUAAUACCACCAUUGUCAUCCUCAUCCUCUUCAUUCUCCAAGGGCUGGUUUUUCUGAGCCUUGAGAAACUUCCCUUUGUCAUAGUGUGCCUUGCGGCGCUUGUCAAAGUCGGUGGAGUCUGUGACCAUGGUGAGAGCUUGGCUUUCCCACCGCACUCUUGCCAAAGGCUCGCUCCACCUCCCCCUUUCCAUUCAAUCCACAACCCUCAUCUCAUGUUGUGGGCGAAAGAUUACCUAGGUGCCAAGGUAAGAGACUGAAGGCACAAACUGUUUCAGUAUAAUAAAGAAAUAGUUAGAAUAAGAAUAGUCAUAAUACAAAUUAGAUAUAGAGAUGAUCAUGGACAAUUAUCAA
Molecule: long non-coding RNA, 867 nt
Filed under: Homo sapiens (human)
Lineage: Eukaryota; Metazoa; Chordata; Mammalia; Primates; Hominidae
Description: HSALNT0236708
Source: RNAcentral